UUCCCACAAACCCUUUCAUCAGUCAAAAUGUCUGCUUCCUUGAGUUGUCAGAGUGUGAUAUCGGUGACAAACAUGUUGACAUUAGUUCAAUAACUGUUUGAGAUUAUUCUACUUUAAAAAGUGUUGUGAUAUAUUCUAACCAUGACCAGUUAUUUUGAUACGUGGGCGAGGCUUUGACAAACAGCGUGUUUCUGGCUAGCCAAUUAUAUAGCAGCCAAUGUUACUUGGCAGUUGCUCUCGUCUUUGUUUUCACACCUUUGCCCCACAGAACGCGCUUGCCAGAGUCGGCACUUCGAUAUACAAUAACUCUGCAACACGAGCACUUCAUGUCACUGCAGCAUGCUGCAAGAAUCGCUUGUAUUCGGGUGGGGAAAGGAGACCGACCACUAACCUAUGAGCAAGCACUCCACCCCCACCACAUAGGACACCGCAAGGGCUGGCUCUCCCAGCACACUAGUAACCUACAGGGAGAGGGAGGAGCAUCAGAUCGUACUGUGGAAGACGACGUUUGUACGACGUUUCCUCUUCGGGAACUUUCAAUAACUGCCUGGCCAAUGAGAUUGUGAUAAAGCGACGAGGCAACAUGCUGGUGGGGUGUACCCUGAUGCUGCAGAAAUUCCCUUCACAGAAGUUCUACUUCCUGAUUGGCUACACGGAGACACUGCUCUCACUUCUACAAGUGUCCUGUUAAGAUGGAGGUACAGACCCUGGAGGAUAAGGCUGUCUACAAGUACCUCAGACAGGAAUUGCUAACAGAUUUGACUUUCAAGACUUGUCAUACAGGACUAUUUUGGGGAAACUCACCACCGUACAGUUGUAAAAAAUAAAUGGUAUUUGAAUGAGUCUAUUCAUCUCUAUCUACAGUGUGUGGAAACCAACUAUUGAGUGUGUGCCUUGGAGUUGGCUCUUCACAGUAGGAAUAGACAGACUACCAGAUAGUGUUAUCUUCAGGUUAACAGCAGUACACCUGUGUAUUCAGUCAGGUGAAACGUCAACUGGGUGAAAAUAAAUCUAAUGUAUACAAGUGACACGCGUCUAUCCUACACGGCAGACAAUCUGUUCCAACAUAGUACAUUUUAAGGAGAAGGAAGGAGAAAGGUAGGAAAGCGUGUCACAAAUAGGCAUUGUGUCAGAUUCAAACCCACGUAGUUAGUGGUAGGUAUGUGCUCCAUAGGUGCUGGUAUUGACAGCCAGACCUUACAUUUUCCAGAGCAUUCUGUAACACAUUGCACCCUCCUGAACAGGCCCCAUUGUUUUUCCCAUCUCCUCUUUGAAUUGGAUUCCAUUCCAGUCUAGAACUAUUCACUACUUGUAAAUCAUGUGUUGGAGUUAAAUGGACUUAUGAAAAACUCAGUGGAAUGCUUUUUCGUUUAUUGAUUUCUCAUGACGCGGUCACAUUGAACAAAGCAUUAAAAAGCUGCUUCAGUGCAAAAAGACAAGGCACACAGAUUACAUCAUCUUCGUCCAUAUCAAAGGUUAGAGUAUGAACAAUUCCCUUAAAUAUCAGUGAUAUAUUCCUGUCUGUAAGGCCACAUUGAUUUUUCAAAACAAUUAAAACGAUUCCACACGAAUAACAUUUGUCUGAUCUACAUCUAGGAAAAUGUCCCUCUUGAUUUAUUUUGGAAAAAAAGGGUCUCAUGGCUAUAAUGGUUAAUACUCAGACUGUAUCACUCAUUGUAGAACAUUUUGUUUACACAGACAGUAAACUUCACAUUCUCAGACACCUUGCCUGUGUCCCAAUCUGUUCUUUCUUCUAAAGUGUGCACUUGUACACUCCUUCCCAUACAUUUAAUACCAUUGGAUCAGUAUAGACAUGGACUAAAGGGAGUUAAUGUCUUAUAAUACCAGUAAUUUACUUUGAAAUCCACGAAGUCAACAAGUGCACACUAAAUGGAAGAAAGUACAGCUUAUUGUGAGGCAGGUUGGGAGGCACACAAACAGCAAAGAUAGGACAAAUACCACUUGUCCUCUGGGCUCACAUUCUGAAGGAACAGGCUCGUUCAGUUUUCCCUUCUUUCACCUCUCUUUCCCUGGAAAAGUGCUCAUAGACUAAAAUGUAAAACACAGCUCUCGUCUUCCUUAUGCUCCAUACAUACAGCGAGUGGCAAACAGGGAAAUCAUUCCAUUGGGCGAGAAGUAGCCACUUCGCCACCCACAGUGUGAACAAGACCAUAAAGCAAGGGGAAAGGCAGGUUGGCUAAAUGGGAUUGAUGGU
Oncorhynchus mykiss (rainbow trout) is the source of this 2215-nucleotide RNA transcript. It is a transcript of the gene named small ribosomal subunit protein uS3m-like, with no coding region annotated. Lineage: Eukaryota; Metazoa; Chordata; Actinopteri; Salmoniformes; Salmonidae. The record is from RefSeq and is a predicted model, not a curated record.